GGCACUGCCCGGUAGCUAAAUGCGGAAGAGAUAANGUGCUGAAAGCAUCUAAGCACGAAACUUGCCCCGAGAUGAGUUCUCCCUGAGACUUUAAGUCUCCUGAAGGAACGUUAAAGACGAUGACGUUGAUAGGCCGGGUGUGUAAGCGCAGCGAUGCGUUGAGCUAACCGGUACUAAUGAACCGUGAGGCUUAACCUUACAACGCCGAAG
Molecule: ribosomal RNA, 210 nt
Filed under: Klebsiella pneumoniae
Lineage: Bacteria; Pseudomonadati; Pseudomonadota; Gammaproteobacteria; Enterobacterales; Enterobacteriaceae
Description: partial 23S ribosomal RNA
Rfam family: Bacterial large subunit ribosomal RNA
Source: RNAcentral